AGAGUUUGAUCCUGGCUCAGAUUGAACGCUGGCGGCAGGCCUAACACAUGCAAGUCGAGCGGCAGCGGGAAAGUAGCUUGCUACUUUUGCCGGCGAGCGGCGGACGGGUGAGUAAUGCCUGGGAAAUUGCCCAGUCGAGGGGGAUAACAGUUGGAAACGACUGCUAAUACCGCAUACGCCCUACGGGGGAAAGCAGGGGACCUUCGGGCCUUGCGCGAUUGGAUAUGCCCAGGUGGGAUUAGCUUGUUGGUGAGGUAAUGGCUCACCAAGGCGACGAUCCCUAGCUGGUCUGAGAGGAUGAUCAGUCACACUGGAACUGAGACACGGUCCAGACUCCUACGGGAGGCAGCAGUGGGGAAUAUUGCACAAUGGGGGAAACCCUGAUGCAGCCAUGCCGCGUGCGUGAAGAAGGCCUUCGGGUUGUAAAGCACUUUCAGCGAGGAGGAAAGGUUGAUGCCUAAUACGCAUCAGCUGUGACGUUACUCGCAGAAGAAGCACCGGCUAACUCCGUGCCAGCAGCCGCGGUAAUACGGAGGGUGCAAGCGUUAAUCGGAAUUACUGGGCGUAAAGCGCACGCAGGCGGUUGGAUAAGUUAGAUGUGAAAGCCCCGAGCUCAACCUGGGAAUUGCAUUUAAAACUGUCCAGCUAGAGUCUUGUAGAGGGGGGUAGAAUUCCAGGUGUAGCGGUGAAAUGCGUAGAGAUCUGGAGGAAUACCGGUGGCGAAGGCGGCCCCCUGGACAAAGACUG
RNAcentral lists this ribosomal RNA (747 nucleotides) under uncultured bacterium. Its description in RNAcentral is "bacterial SSU rRNA". It matches the Rfam family "Bacterial small subunit ribosomal RNA", at positions 8 to 742 of the family's 1533-position model. The record is from RNAcentral.